Molecule: ribosomal RNA, 499 nt
Filed under: Actinomyces sp. 14-151
Lineage: Bacteria; Bacillati; Actinomycetota; Actinomycetes; Actinomycetales; Actinomycetaceae
Description: bacterial SSU rRNA
Rfam family: Bacterial small subunit ribosomal RNA
Source: RNAcentral
AGAAACGCUGGCGGCGUGCUUAACACAUGCAAGUCGAACGCGGGAAGAACCUGGCUUUUGUUGGGUUGGAUGAGUGGCGAACGGGUGAGUAACACGUGAGUAACCUGCCCUCUUCUUUGGGAUAACGCCCGGAAACGGGUGCUAAUACUGGAUAUUCACUGGCCUUCGCAUGGGGGUUGGUGGAAAGGUUUGUUCUGGUGGGGGAUGGGCUCGCGGCCUAUCAGCUUGUUGGUGGGGUGAUGGCCUACCAAGGCUUUGACGGGUAGCCGGCCUGAGAGGGUGACCGGUCACAUUGGGACUGAGAUACGGCCCAGACUCCUACGGGAGGCAGCAGUGGGGAAUAUUGCACAAUGGGCGGAAGCCUGAUGCAGCGACGCCGCGUGAGGGAUGGAGGCCUUCGGGUUGUAAACCUCUUUCGCUCAUGGUCAAGCCGCAACUGUGGGUUGUGGUGAGGGUAGUGGGUAAAGAAGCGCCGGCUAACUACGUGCCAGCAGCCGCG